RNAcentral lists this ribosomal RNA (910 nucleotides) under uncultured bacterium. RNAcentral describes it as "bacterial SSU rRNA". It matches the Rfam family "Bacterial small subunit ribosomal RNA", at positions 33 to 917 of the family's 1533-position model. The record is from RNAcentral.
ACGCUGGCGGCGUGCCUAAUACAUGCAAGUAGAACGCACAGUUUAUACCGUAGCUUGCUAUACCAUAGACUGUGAGUUGCGAACGGGUGAGUAACGCGUAGGUAACCUGCCUGGUAGCGGGGGAUAACUAUUGGAAACGAUAGCUAAUACCGCAUAAUAUUAAUUAUUGCAUGAUAAUUGAUUGAAAGGUGCAACUGCAUCACUACCAGAUGGACCUGCGUUGUAUUAGCUAGUAGGUGAGGUAACGGCUCACCUAGGCGACGAUACAUAGCCGACCUGAGAGGGUGAUCGGCCACACUGGGACUGAGACACGGCCCAGACUCCUACGGGAGGCAGCAGUAGGGAAUCUUCGGCAAUGGACGAAAGUCUGACCGAGCAACGCCGCGUGAGUGAAGAAGGUUUUCGGAUCGUAAAGCUCUGUUGUAAGAGAAGAACGGGUGUGAGAGUGGAAAGUUCACACUGUGACGGUAUCUUACCAGAAAGGGACGGCUAACUACGUGCCAGCAGCCGCGGUAAUACGUAGGUCCCGAGCGUUGUCCGGAUUUAUUGGGCGUAAAGCGAGCGCAGGCGGUUAGAUAAGUCUGAAGUUAAAGGCUGUGGCUUAACCAUAGUACGCUUUGGAAACUGUUUAACUUGAGUGCAGAAGGGGAGAGUGGAAUUCCAUGUGUAGCGGUGAAAUGCGUAGAUAUAUGGAGGAACACCGGUGGCGAAAGCGGCUCUCUGGUCUGUAACUGACGCUGAGGCUCGAAAGCGUGGGGAGCGAACAGGAUUAGAUACCCUGGUAGUCCACGCCGUAAACGAUGAGUGCUAGGUGUUAGGCCCUUUCCGGGGCUUAGUGCCGCAGCUAACGCAUUAAGCACUCCGCCUGGGGAGUACGACCGCAAGGUUGAAACUCAAAGGAAUUGACGGG